Molecule: non-coding RNA, 47 nt
Organism: Astyanax mexicanus (Mexican tetra)
Lineage: Eukaryota; Metazoa; Chordata; Actinopteri; Characiformes; Acestrorhamphidae
Source: Rfam
UUAAUGGUUUCAUUUGAAACCAUUUCAUUUAAAAAUUAGAUUUGUUG